ACCUUCGUGGUGUAGUGGUCAGCACGUUCAACGUGUAUUUGAGAGGUCCGUGGUUCGAGUCCCGGCGGAGGCA
RNAcentral lists this transfer RNA (73 nucleotides) under Stegodyphus mimosarum. It matches the Rfam family "tRNA". Rfam says of the family: Transfer RNA (tRNA) molecules are approximately 80 nucleotides in length. Their secondary structure includes four short double-helical elements and three loops (D, anti-codon, and T loops). The record is from Rfam by way of RNAcentral. Lineage: Eukaryota; Metazoa; Arthropoda; Arachnida; Araneae; Eresidae.